RNAcentral lists this ribosomal RNA (253 nucleotides) under uncultured bacterium. RNAcentral's name for it is "partial 16S ribosomal RNA". It matches the Rfam family "Bacterial small subunit ribosomal RNA", at positions 524 to 776 of the family's 1533-position model. The record is from RNAcentral.
UACAGAGGGUGCGAGCGUUAAUCGGAAUUACUGGGCGUAAAGCGUGCGUAGACGGUUAUGUAAGUCAGGUGUGAAAGCCCCGGGCUCAACCUGGGAAUUGCAUUUGAGACUGCAUAGCUAGGGUGCGGAAGAGGGAAGCGGAAUUUCCGGUGUAGCGGUGAAAUGCGUAGAUAUCGGAAGGAACACCGAUGGCGAAGGCAGUCCCCUGGGCCUGUACUGACGCUCAUGCACGAAAGCGUGGGGAGCAAACAGG